AUUGAACGCUGGCGGCAUGCCUUACACAUGCAAGUCGAACGGUAACAGGUUAAGCUGACGAGUGGCGAACGGGUGAGUAAUGUAUCGGAACGUGCCCAGUCGUGGGGGAUAACUGCUCGAAAGAGCAGCUAAUACCGCAUACGACCUGAGGGUGAAAGCGGGGGAUCGCAAGACCUCGCGCGAUUGGAGCGGCCGAUAUCAGAUUAGGUAGUUGGUGAGGUAAAGGCUCACCAAGCCGACGAUCUGUAGCUGGUCUGAGAGGACGACCAGCCACACUGGGAGUGAGGCGCGGCCCGGACUCCAGCGGGCGGCAGCAGGGGGGAAGUUUGGACAAUGGGCGAAGGUCUGAACCAGGCAGGCAGCGUGCGGGAAGAAGGCCUUCGGCUUGUAAACGGCUUUUGUCAGGGAAGAAAAGGUUCUGGCUAAUAACUGGGACUCAUGCCGGUACCUGAAGAAUAAGCACCGGCGAAAUACG
RNAcentral lists this ribosomal RNA (475 nucleotides) under uncultured bacterium. Its description in RNAcentral is "partial 16S ribosomal RNA". It matches the Rfam family "Bacterial small subunit ribosomal RNA", at positions 29 to 505 of the family's 1533-position model. The record is from RNAcentral.